Aquila chrysaetos chrysaetos is the source of this 7125-nucleotide long non-coding RNA. RefSeq lists it as uncharacterized. The transcript is spliced from 3 exons. NCBI's taxonomy places the organism in Eukaryota, Metazoa, Chordata, Aves, Accipitriformes, Accipitridae. The record is from RefSeq and is a predicted model, not a curated record.
CGCCGAGCGAGCCCACGCAAGUGCGUUAUGGCAAAUCGCCUCGCCAGGAGGACCGGCAGCGUCCGACCUUGCGGGUCUCCGGGCAGCAGGGAUUAGUCUUUGUUUUCUGGCUUAUUAAUAUGCUGCAAACUGAUUGCGAUUCUGCUCUAACUCCAGUAGCCCUCUCAUAGCUCUGUUGCAGCAUCGCGUUGGGUGGGGAGGUGACCAGUUAUUUUGCAGCUGAAUCUUCCUUCUGCCUUUAUUUCCAAAUACUGCCCUCAGAGGGAGCCUCGAUAGCUGCUGUUCCUUACUGGGGAAUAGCACGACGUCCCUGUGUGACCACGGCCAGAGAGCGUGAGUGCAUUUCUGAACCUUGCUGCUCCCCACACCACCUGUCCUGAGCUGCUGGGAGGGAUGGAGGGAAAAGCAAAAAUCCUAGAUUAAAAAAUCACUACUUAGUUUUAAUGCAAAUAUUCUCAGUGUUACCAGCAGUCAGGCUGGAAUUGGCUUAGACUGCUGAUUCGGUUGCCCAAGCCCACACUCAUCAUACAGGUUCUUUCCUUAUCUCCAGUGGAAAGAAAGAAGCAGCUCAUAAAACUUGUGCAUCCCUUCAGGAUACAGUUCAAAGCAGAGAUUAUUUGCUUUCUGGAAAUAGCCAUUGCUUAGCAUUUAAAUAUCAAAGGUGUGCAAGCUUAAGCCGUUCGUCUGGACUGCUGAUGCCAAACAGCUGAAGUUUGCUGAAAUGACCCUCAACCUUCAUGCAUUAAAUUUGCUAACAGCAAUGAUCAGCUGGGGCUGUGCUGUAGUAACAACUUAGAGCUUAGAUUUCUCCUUCUUGCUUGCAGGCACCAUAAUUACCAUCAAAUGGGGGGAAAAAAAACCAAAACAAACAGACUAGCUACUCUAAGCAGCUGCAGUAUAAAGCUUGGGAAAGCUAUUUCAUGAGGAAAAUCACUGAUCUGGAAAAAAAAUUCCACAUGUGCAGAUGUGCAUGGAUACUUCAUCUUUAUAAAACUCUUCAAGACCAUUCCCCUCUCCUGGAAAGUCCCUCCUCCCAGCUGGAGCCAUCUCCUUCUCCAAGGCCGCAUGGUUUGAUGGAGCAAGUAGAACUUGGCGGGGGGGGGGAGGUGCAAGGGUCCGGGCUGGCCAUGGCCACCCCACCCAGGAAAGCAGCUGAAUUAGGCUCAGGGUUGGGUUUUCGGGCGUCUAACAGGGUCAGGGUCCCUCCUAAAGCUUUUCCAUAUCAUUGUCCCUCUGCGUGGGUUUGGUGGUGUGCGGCGGGACGUUGCAGCCUCCCCGGGGAGGAUGGGGCUGGGGAGACCUCACACCCCGCUCGGAGAAGCUGCCUAAGAGCCUCUAAAGUGAUCAAGGUCCUCCCGAAAAGUGGUUAGGUAAGGUGUUUCUUUAUGAAGCUACACUAAAAAUAUGAGUUUGCAAUAAAAAUCCCUUCUAUCUAUUGAAAUUAGUUUCUUCCAGACGUCUGGUGUUACGGUAGGAAAAUCACGUUUAUUCAAAUCACUGUUACUGGAAUUACUCAGAUAACCGCAGUAUAAAUGAUUUGUUCUCUAUCAUCUCUUUUACAUUCUUGAUAUGAAGAUUAAAAUAUAAAUUUAAAAAUACCAGAUACAGCUUAAAAAGUAGCUAUCAUUAACCAAAUAUAAUUUACAGCAAUACCUCUUUUUUUUUUUUUACCUCAACCACAGCCGUUUGGUUUUCUCUUUCAUCGAGUGGUUGCCAAAAAAUAUUAAUUAAAAAAAAAAUAAUGCACCUUUGAACGCUUGUUUGUCUCUUCACAAAACUGCUGUAGGUGUCUUCCAAGCACUUCUGAAGACGGCUUUGGUUAAACCAUCCCGGUCGCCUGUACUUACACUCCCCUGAGAGAGCGCAGUGAAUCAGCAUUCCUGAGUGCAUGAAAACCGUGAGCAAAUGGGAUUAAUAGCAAAAGAAAACAGCAACAGCAGCGGUGCCCAAGCUGCCAAGGAAAACACAAGUUAUUAGUUCUGCAAGGCUUGGUUGAAUGACUGAGAUCUAAAUGUUGUAGACGGGUUUUUUUUGGUUGGUUUUCUGUUUGUUAGCUUUUUUUUUUGAAUGCUUCUAGUUUGGGGGAAAGCCUUGUAUUGAAACAGUUUAGCAGAGUUGCACAAGUGUAACAGGCAGCUCUCAUUUGGGCAUUUUUGAAGCUUGUUGAUGUUUGGCUAAACAAACCAAUUAAUCUUUGGGAGCCCUAAAUGGAUACCAAAGUCAAUUGCCAUUUUGGGUACUCUCAGGAAAAAUACUCUUACUGCCAAAUGCGGGCUCUGGGACGGCGCCGGCACUGCUGGCUAAAGCCAAUGUCCACCUGAUGGGGCAUCAGCGCUGCCAGAGCUGCUUCAUAAAUAACUUUUGCUUUGGAAUAUUGCAAGGAAUAUUUAUUUAGAUGGGGGAAAAAAUCACCUUAUGCUUUCCAACAUAAUGAAUCUGUACAGCGGGUGCUGGGGGAGCUGGGCAGCUGUGAUGAGCAGAGGGGUUGGAUGCAGGUCGGAGCGGGUGGCACCGAUGUGACAGCUCAGUGAUGCCACGUUGCUGCUCUGCUCGUGCCUGCGGUGACACAGCUGAGCCCUGGGCGCUGGGACGCAGGCGUCACUGCCCUGGGCUGUGGUAGCAAAAUCCCAGUUUGAAAGAAAUCCCAGUUUUUGAGCUCACACAGCGAGAGGCUGUAAUCGGUAAAACUGUAAAUUCACUGUGGUUUUUUACUUUUUUCUUCUUUUUAUUAAGCAGGUUUUAUGCUGCUUGGCAUCUCUCUGCCUCCGCUCGUCUCUGACCUGUCCUCCUCCCGGAGCAGCCGCAGCACCCAAAGGCACAGGCAUCGCAUGGGGACGCCCAUCAGCCCGUGCGCACCGUCCUACCACACUCCUGCCUGCGGAAAUGAGGGGUUUUUUUGGUAAACUGGCAAAUAUUGUGACUGGUGGAUGGCUGGGCAAUGCUGCCACCCUGCUCCUGUGCUGCGAGCCGGCAUCUAAAAUCAUGUCAGAGAGUGUCAGGAAGGGAGCGGCGUUAAUGCCGGGCUUUGCUGUAGCGUUAGCUCUUGCUGGGGACGGGGUAUGGGGUUAGUGCGAUGCUGAGCACCUCCAUGCCUCGUUGCAGCGAGCUGCUUUUCUCUUGCAUGUUUGUUCAUUAAAAGUUCAGGAAAGGAAAACAGUUUGACCCGAUUUGUGCCAGAUUCCAGAUGAUUUGUGUUCUCUAAUUAUAUUCCCCAGCCCGUUAACCUAGCGUGCGUUACAGCAAGCGGCCGCAAUGGUACGCAGUGAAGAUACUCCCGUGAAACAUUAAUGAGCUGUUUUCCUAUUAACUAAGACAGAGCUGGGUUAGAAAUGUCACACCCACAGCUGUUGCCUUGACUGCAGCUCACACGGUAACUGGUGGCGGCUACUUGUACAAACGCUGUAACUGAUGCACACAGAUUUUCUGGAAAUUACCACGUAUUUCUUGGUCUUUUGCAAGCGAGGAACCAGUUGCUGCGAGGGCUGCGUUCCUGCAGCCCGUAGCCAUUUAGCAGAAGGCUUGUUUGCAGGAGGUCAGCUCUCCAUCCAGCUGGGAACAUGGGUGGACGAGUCCUUUUGGGAGGCUUUGAAAAGGCUCGGCGUGAUUUAGGCACUCAGUUUCCUUGGGAUUCCAAUUAAGCUCAGAAAAUGACUCCAGGGAGCCUUUGCUGGGAGUUUCUGGGCCAUGCUGGUGUCAUGGGUUCGUCAGCCCAGAUCCCACUGGUGCUGGCAGAGAGCUCAGUGCCGGUGCGGUCUUUUUUUAAAGAACUUUGAUGUCUCAGAAAGUGCAAACGAUGGUGGCUGCUCGCUGGCGACUGCCCCUGGGAAUCCAGCCCAGGAUAUUUAUUUGAAAUGACAUAAAUAUUUUAUUUAUUUAUAUUAUUACUGGUCUGCGUAAGGUUACAUUGUGUCUUUGUACGCAUGCAUUUUUCCAUACAUCAUUUUAGAUUAUAGAAAAGCACAUCCAGACUCCAACAAAACACCUGACCACCCCGAAGCGCCUGAACACCGAUGCGGUUUUGCCUCUUUUGGACGCACCCCACGAAGAGGCUGGGAAGCGGAGCGCUGCCGAUCGCGGCAGGGCUCGCCGAGGACACCGUGCUGCCAGCACUCGACAGCCUUCUCCUACCCGGGGUGCCACGAAAACCCCCGUCCCGCAGCAGCCCGGGGUGCCGAGUCGCUCCCAGCGGCUGCCUGAAGCCGAAACCCAUCAGGGUGGCCCCGGGGACGCCGGCAGUGGCCAGAAAAUCUGAGAAAUCUGUACCAAGGGGAGCAGCGAGCCGUGCAAAUGCCGUUAUGUAUUACAAGCAACAAGCCUUUUCCUGCCGGCCGGGCCUUGCAGAACAAUUGCACUUCACUGGCACAGCUCCUUCCCAAACCCCCUCUGGCAGCGCUGGCGGGCAAAAGGGGUGUAAACGUGCCGUGCUACCGAUCCACCUCUCCUCGUGCUGAAAAUAAACCCAGGCGGACCGAGGUUAGAGUACAAACGUGCUGUGCAGAAGAGUGGGUGGCUGCUCAGCUCCCGGGAAAGCCGCGUUUGCUUCUCUUUGCUCUGAAGACCUCAACUGCACGGAAAUCCAGCUUUCAUUUUUCAGGCCCUGGGAUCUCCAUCCUUUAAAUAUCAAUUUUAUUUCGGAAGCUGUCCUGUGAGUCCCACAGACUCUCCUCCCCUCAGGUCACAAAGGACCCAGACAAUCUGAGUAAACCUGCCAUAAAUGACUUCUGUUGCACAAGAGAUUCUUCAAUCACAAACAGCAAGAACAUCCCAGUCACUUGCAAACAGAAAACGGACCCCAUUUUGCUCAGUAAAUGAUUUGUUACAAACUGCCCAGUAUUUGGCUGCUAAUCCAAGCUGCGGGCUCACCUGAGACAGGUUUGUCUUCCCACAGCUGUUGCAUUUCUUUAAUGAAAGAGCUUUGCCUGAUUAAAAAAUUUGCAAGACCAGUUAAUGAUAACCAUCAGUGGAAAACCCUGCAAAUGUUACUAUCCUCUAAACUUUCUGUUAUCAGCUGGAGCUGGGCUGUGUUUACAUGCCCUAAGAAACAGCACUCCCAGAAAAUAACUUAAUUCGCGAACUAUUUUCUGUGGUUUGGGUGGUGGGGGUGAUCACGGCUCUAUUUCGCCACUGCUGCUGCUGUCUGUGUUUCUCUCCUGCAGGCUUCAUGUUUGUCCUUCAGCCCCCAGCUGCUGGUAAGGCACGGACAGCAGUACAACAGCAUCUUCGCAUACAUCCACGCUGCGGUGGGGACCGAGCUGAGCAGGUUUUAGUUUAUUUAUCUGGUCCUUCCUGCAACCCCGGGAUGCAGAGAGCCCUUCCCACCAGAUUGAGGGUUUUUUUACCCUGGUAUCAAAGCCAGAGCAGUGGUUCCCAUGAAGACGGUGGGGUCUCCUCUCAGCACCUCUUCAGGAUGAGGUCCUCAGGCACAGAAGACAGAGGUUGCAAAUGCUGAGACCCAUUUUGCAGUGCAAUGCAUGGUUUUGGCAUUUAGCUUAUAGCUUGCUGCCAAUGUAUCACACCUGGGAGCUGCUGCUUUAAUGCACACACUGCAUUGAGGUGGGUAAAUGAAUCCCGGCCAGCGAUGUACUCAGUGCUGUUUAACCUGCUACGAUCCUGCCCGCCCUGCAACACCAGGCUUCCUAGAAGGAACUCGUUAUCUGCAAUGAGACCCGAGCUGGGCCGUUCGUUUUUGGGGGCAUGAGCAUAACGCCUUCAACUGGAUGAGGCUCCUGGCACAAACGCUCAUGGGGCUGUUCCCAAAGCACGGCUUCCCAGGCUCAUCCAGCCCCACGGCAGGUACCUUCAAAUACGCUUGGAGAAAGAGGUGUUACGCUGUCAUGGGCUUUCCGAAACAGUGACAGUCCCCCAGCAGGGUCCAGGGGACGAUCACAGUAUUUCUCCUUAGAGAUGAGGUAGAUUUUUAAAAUUCUGCCGCUUCCCUUUGCAUUUGGCAUCACCCCCGGGCCAAGGAAAUGAUGUUCAGGAGCUUUGAGACCUGAAGGGGCCAGAGCUGCCCCCGCGGGGCCGUGUGUACGUGUGCGUACGUCUGUCCGGGCUCCCGCAUGGGCACCAGUUAUCGCCCAAGUCUGAAGAAUAGAUGCAAAGGGGCUAAAAAGCUGAUAUAAGCCAGGAGAGAAAGAGAUGGCCUCCUGUAAUUGUCGUCUUCAGGCAUUUCAGAGAGAGAGAGGAAGACUGGGGGGGGAGGGAGGGGUGUUGGACGUGUUUGACCCCACCAUGGGUGUUUGUCAUGUCGGACGUGAGACCCUGCCCCAUGGCCACUGUAAAAAUCUCAAAAUCUUUGGGUUGGGAAAGCAAAAGCCAUUUAAAUAUAACCCUUGUCACAGCUGUAAAUUAGAUACUAUAUGAAUUGUCAUAGUAAAUGAAACCCAGGUUUUGGCUGGUCUUCUGUUUUAUCAGGGCAUUUAAGUAAGUAAAUGUCUUUUCCAUAUUGAAAGUGCUGAGGUAGUUCAUUACCUGAUUAAAGAACAUGUUGGACUUGAAUGCACUGAUGGUGCUAACUGAAUAAUCAAGGUAAGCAGGGAUCUUUCAAAUCCUCAAGCAACAAACUUCAAUUAGAUGGGAGAGAUUCAAUUAUGCUUUAAAGGGAACCUGGCUAUGAGCAUGCAGGAUAUGGCAGAAAAAUGUAUGCAAAGAAUUUCAUGGAAAGGAGCAAUUAUUUUAUCACUAGGACAUGCAAAGUGAAAUUUGCUCAUCAGUCCUGAAUAGAAGCCCAAAUAACUGAGCCUUUUAAGGAGGUGAUGAUACAUGGACCAGGAUGGACUUCAGCUGAAUGUAAAGGCUGAGAGCCUCAAGCAGGUUUAAGUGAGUUUGAUUGAUUUCUGUGCAGUUAUCAACUAAGGUUUUGGUCAGUGACUUCAUGGUAUUUGGCCUUGGAUAAUGGAUGUUGUAACAAGGAUGUAGGACGUCGGCAGCAAGUGUCUCCCAAUCCCACUUCAUUAAGAUAAAGUUUUAGAAGUUGAAUUGUUUUUGAGUCUGAAGAUGCUGGUUCUUCCUCCCCCAGCAUCUCUGCAUCAGUGAAAAAAGCACAGGGAAAAGUCAAACACUUUGCAAAAGAACACAGACAUUUGAAUUUAAUAAAUUAUAAAAUUAAAGAUUCUAAUUUGUAUA